This 651-nucleotide ribosomal RNA is filed under the name Triticum aestivum (bread wheat). Its description in RNAcentral is "partial small subunit ribosomal RNA". Lineage: Eukaryota; Viridiplantae; Streptophyta; Magnoliopsida; Poales; Poaceae. The record is from RNAcentral.
AUGUUCACUGAUGAGUUCAGGGGCACAACCACUCUAUAUAAGCAUACCCACCCAAAGGGAUCUUUUGUGUACAUUGAUCCUGAAUAUGUUAUGACUGGUGACCUGACCCCCCUAUCUGAUGUAUACUCUUUCGGAAUCGUGCUGUUGCGCCUCUUGACUGGAAGACCAGGAUUCGGGCUGUUGAAAGAUGUGCAACGGGCAGUGGAAAAGGGUUGCCUGGAAGCAAUUUUGGAUUCAUCUGCUGGGGGCUGGCCAGCUAUGCAGGCUGAGCAAUUGGCUCGGGUAGGUCUGAAAUGUUGUGAAAUCAGAAGAAAAAACCGUCCUGACCUGCAAACGGAGGUUUGGACUGUACUUGAACCAAUGUUGAAGUCCAGUUCCUUCAUGUUGUGUUCCUUAUCAUUUAAAUCAGUAUCCGAAGACCUUGGAGGUGUGCCGCCCUACUUCAUCUGUCCAAUACUACAGGAUAUCAUGAGGGAACCUCUAAUUGCUGCAGAUGGUUUUACCUAUGAAGCCGAAGCUAUAAGGGAGUGGAUUGACAAUGGCCACCAUACAUCACCCAUGACAAAUCUUGAGCUACUCCACCGUGAUCUUUUGCCGAACCAUGCCCUCCGUUCUGCGAUCCAAGAAUGGCUGCAGACAAAUGCAAAUUAA